Molecule: ribosomal RNA, 722 nt
Filed under: uncultured bacterium
Lineage: Bacteria
Description: partial 16S ribosomal RNA
Rfam family: Bacterial small subunit ribosomal RNA
Source: RNAcentral
UGAAUGCUGGCGGCGUGCCUUAACAUGCAAGUCAAGGGGGCUCGUAGCAAUACGAGCAACCGGCAGACGGGUGAGUAACGCGUAGGAAUCUACCUCUAGGAGGAACAUAGCCAUCCGAAAGGAUGGGUAAUUUUCCAUGGUUCUCGUAAGAGUAAAGGACUUAAAGGUCCGCCAAGAGAUGAGCCUGCGUCCUAUCAGCUUGUUGGUGGGGUAAAAGCCUACCAAGGCAAUGACGGGUAGCUGGACUGAGAGGUCGAUCAGCCACAACUGCACUGAAACACGGGCAGUACAUCUACGGAUGGCAGCAACUAGGAAUAGUUCGCAAUGGACGAAAGUCUGACGACGCGACGCCGCGUGAAGGAUGAAGGCCUAUGGGGCGGAAACUUCUUUUGAUAAGCCGUUCACAGCUUAUAGAAUAAGCCUCUACUAACUACGUGCCAGAAGUCUCGGUAAUACGUAGGAGGCAAGCAUUAUCCGGAUUCAUUGGGCGUAAAGUGUGCGUAGGCGGUUUGGUAAGUCUAUUUUUAAAUUCCGAAGCUCAACUUCGGGCCUGGAAUACAUACUACUAAACUUGAGGAUUGUUAGGGGUGCUAGAACAGUUACUGUACCAGUGAAAUGCGUUGAUAUUAAACUGGAAUACCAAAGGGCGAAGGGAGGCACCUGGAAUUUUUCCUGGACGCUGAAGGCACGACAGGCUAGGGGUAACGAACCAUAUUACAGAC